RNAcentral lists this transfer RNA (73 nucleotides) under Actinomycetota bacterium. Its description in RNAcentral is "tRNA-Gln". It matches the Rfam family "tRNA". Rfam says of the family: Transfer RNA (tRNA) molecules are approximately 80 nucleotides in length. Their secondary structure includes four short double-helical elements and three loops (D, anti-codon, and T loops). Further hydrogen bonds mediate the characteristic L-shaped molecular structure. tRNAs have two regions of fundamental functional importance: the anti-codon, which is responsible for specific mRNA codon recognition, and the 3' end, to which the tRNAs corresponding amino acid is attached (by aminoacyl-tRNA synthetases). tRNAs cope with the degeneracy of the genetic code in two manners: having more than one tRNA (with a specific anti-codon) for a particular amino acid; and 'wobble' base-pairing, i.e. permitting non-standard base-pairing at the 3rd anti-codon position. Lineage: Bacteria; Bacillati; Actinomycetota. The record is from RNAcentral.
UGGGGGGUGGUGUAAUUGGCAGCCCGCGGGCCUUUGGAGCCCUGAGGUCCCGGUUCAAGUCCGGGCCCCCCAA